Molecule: ribosomal RNA, 468 nt
Filed under: uncultured bacterium
Lineage: Bacteria
Description: partial 16S ribosomal RNA
Rfam family: Bacterial small subunit ribosomal RNA
Source: RNAcentral
GACGAACGCUGGCGGCGUGCUUAACACAUGCAAGUCGAACGGCAAGGCCCUGCUUUUGUGGGGUGCUCGAGUGGCGAACGGGUGAGUAACACGUGAGUAACCUGCCCUUGACUUUGGUAUAACUUCAGGAAACUGGGGCUAAUACCGUAUAGGAGCUCCUGCUGCAUGGUGGGGGUUGGAAAGUUUCGGCGGGUGGGGAUGGACUCGCGGCUUAUCAGCUUGUUGGUGGGGUAGUGGCUUACCAAGGCUUUGACGGGUAGCCGGCCUGAGAGGGUGACCGGCCACAUGGGGACUGAGAUACGGCCCAGACUCCUACGGGAGGCAGUAGGGGGGAAUAUUGCACAAUGGGCGGAAGCCUGAUGCAGCAACGCCGCGUGCGGGAUGACGGCCUUCGGGUUGUAAACCGCUUUCGCCUGUGACGAAGCGUGAGUGACGGUAAUGGGUAAAGAAGCACCGGCUAACUACGUG